UACGGAAGGCAGCAGGGGGGAAUAUUGCACAAUGGGCGCAAGCCUGAUGCAGCCAUGCCGCGUGUAUGAAGAAGGCCUUCGGGUUGUAAAGUACUUUCAGUCGUGAGGAAGGUGUUAAGGUUAAUAACCUUAGCAAUUGACGUUAGCGACAGAAGAAGCACCGGCUAACUCCGUGCCAGCAGCCGCGGUAAUACGGAGGGUGCGAGCGUUAAUCGGAAUUACUGGGCGUAAAGGGCACGCAGGCGGUUAAUUAAGUUGGAUGUGAAAUCCCCGGGCUUAACCUGGGAAUGGCAUUCAAGACUGGUUAGCUAGAGUCUUGUAGAGGGGGUAGAAUUCCAUGUGUAGCGGUGAAAUGCGUAGAGAUGUGGAGGAAUACCGGUGGCGAAGGCGGCCCCUGGACAAAGACUGACGCUCAUGUGCGAAAGCGUGGGGAGCGAAACAGGGAUUAGAUACC
RNAcentral lists this ribosomal RNA (454 nucleotides) under uncultured bacterium. Its description in RNAcentral is "bacterial SSU rRNA". It matches the Rfam family "Bacterial small subunit ribosomal RNA", at positions 340 to 786 of the family's 1533-position model. The record is from RNAcentral.